AGAAAAUCGUCGUCCGUUUACAAUUGAAAAUAAACAUGCAGAUGUCCUCCCUAAAGAGCACCAAAAAGCGCGGUUUAUGGGAGGAAUGUAGAGAGGGUUGUUCUUAUGAGGAAGUUUGUGAGGUGGUUGAACCACCAAGCCAAUUUUCGUCUAGCGAUCUUUCAGAUAACGCCAAUCGAAGAAAACGUGGUAAAGAUACAAAAGAAAGGAUCGUAAAGAUUGUUGAAAGAAAGGCAAACGAUGACUUGGGGAAUAUGUAAAAAAGGCUGA
This is a long non-coding RNA of Mytilus californianus (California mussel), 270 nucleotides long. RefSeq lists it as uncharacterized. The transcript is spliced from 3 exons. The record is from RefSeq and is a predicted model, not a curated record. Lineage: Eukaryota; Metazoa; Mollusca; Bivalvia; Mytilida; Mytilidae.